AUGUUGUUCUGUUCACUUUUACUCUUCUUUAACUUGAUAGGUCUCAGUUCUGAACAGGUAUUAACACCCUACACUGAUGUAGAAGUGGCUUCAGAAAGGGAAAGAGUUACUCUCUCUUGUAACUACACCUCUUCUAGUGUCACUCUUCAAUGGUAUCGACAAUAUCCCAAAUCAGCACCACAGUUACUGGUUAUGGAACACGUGCCUGCAAAAACACCAGAGUUCACUCUAAAUCAUGACAAAAAAGCCAAACGUGUGGAUCUGGAGAUCUCCUCUGCUGAAGUGACAGACUCUGCUCAGUACUACUGUGCCCUGACAGCCACUGUGACAGGAAACCCAGAAACACUGCACAAAAACCUUCAUAUGUGAUUCAUACAAUAAUGGAGGGAAUCUAUUCCACCCCCCACC
Molecule: non-coding RNA, 408 nt
Organism: Salvelinus fontinalis (brook trout)
Lineage: Eukaryota; Metazoa; Chordata; Actinopteri; Salmoniformes; Salmonidae
Source: the annotation of a RefSeq genome assembly